RNAcentral lists this long non-coding RNA (1659 nucleotides) under Oryzias javanicus (javanese ricefish). RNAcentral describes it as "lncRNA (ENSOJAG00000017519.1)". The record is from RNAcentral. Lineage: Eukaryota; Metazoa; Chordata; Actinopteri; Beloniformes; Adrianichthyidae.
GGCCAGAGGACUUUUACAGAAACAUGGCCAUUUGGAGCCAUCUGAUGUUAUGAAGGAACAGGAUCAGACCCACCAACAUUCUUCAGCCAUAUCCCUGCCUUAGAGAUCUAAAUCAUGUAAGAAAAUCAUUUUCAGAUGGUUUAUGUUUAAUAAGAUUCUGCGAGUAAAUAGUAAAUCAUACUCAUUGUAAAAUGUUGGACUUUUGUUUCUAAAAGUCACAGGACUUUGGCAUUUAAAUGCGAUGAAGCUGAUGAACAGCAAGAGUUUUAUUAAAUUAAAAUGUAUGUAUUUCUAUCUUUGUGUUUAUGUGUCCGAUGACGGAUGAACGGGAUUGGAUCCUCAAUUAAGCAAACCCCCACUUCAUUCUUGAACUGAAGAAUCGCUGGAGGAUCUUUUUUGAGAGGGACCAGUUUUGUGGAGUUUUUUUUUUUUUAAAAAGGGAUGAAUCUUCCAAAGAGAGAUGAAGGUAAUUGCAAACUUAAGUGCAGUCAUGCUCAUUGGCUGUGUCAGUUUUGUGCUUUUGUACAGGUGUGUCUGCCAUUUUGUCCUAUAGACGUUAAAUAAUUGUAUAAAAUGUGCAGUUAUUAAUCCUUGUGCUCUCAUAGGCAUGUUAAAAUUUAAAGUGGGGUCAUCUGGACCCCACAAGACGGAGCUUUUAUUUGCAAGGAUUUUUUUUAUCUUCACUGGUUUUCGUGGCAGACAUAAAAUCCCGUCCACCUCUAUCAUGGGAGGGAUCACACGUCAGUGUUAGCGUGAGAUCAUCUGGACCCCAUAAGAGAGCACAAGGGUUAACUGGUGGUGGCUAAAUGUAUGUACUGUAACAUCCUUAAAUCUUGUCAUUUCUUUGUAUUUUUUUAAAUUAUUUAUUAAAUGUAUUUUUACAGUGAAUGAAAUGAUGCUGUUUUGUUUUUCACAGUAAAGCAAACAGUUGUCUAGAUGAAGCCUUUGCCAGACAUGAUCCCAUCGCCUGUCGCUCCACCCAAGAAGCUAAGACAUUCAAAUGAGGUGAUGCUUCACAUCCUCCAGUCGGCAGAACACCCCAACAUCUUUCUUCAAUCAAGACCUUUCUUCAGUCUUGUGGUGAUCGUCUGUGACACCAACCGAAUAACUACCAUUGGAACCAUUUCUGUGCUGAUCUUCAGGACGUAUCUGACAGCGUGAUGUAUAUCAUGGCAUGUUACUACAUCUUUCACCUUACGUAUCCCAAGUGUAGCAGGACACUCCUGUUUGUGCUGCAGACAGAAGACCUUAUGGACACGAUCCAUGCCAGAGACAUGACUUCCUCUAACAAAAAAGUAAAUGCUAUUACAACUAUGUAUGUUGAUGUUCAGUCCAGAUGUUUACAGAUGUGAUUGUUAAAAUGUGAAGUUUUUCUACCAGUUUUCUAAGUUACAACAUCAUUUGUUCUGCUCUUCUUAUGAUGACUUUAGCCUUUCUGGAAUCAGUACGGGCUUUUUUAUUUUUUAUCAUACUUCUAGUUAUGUUGCCUAAACAGACAACAUUUAAGUUUCUCAGUAUCCUAUCACACAUUCUUGUGAGAUACUCAUUGUUAUUAAACUUACAGCACUGUUUGUAGUCAUCUGCAUGUCUGUUUUCAACCUAGACCAGCAAUACUUGUGUUUGUUUCCAGUCAUGAGCUCCUCAAAUGCAAUAAAGAAG